RNAcentral lists this ribosomal RNA (497 nucleotides) under uncultured bacterium. RNAcentral's name for it is "partial 16S ribosomal RNA". It matches the Rfam family "Bacterial small subunit ribosomal RNA", at positions 28 to 507 of the family's 1533-position model. The record is from RNAcentral.
GAUGAACGCUGGCGGCGUGCCUAAUACAUGCAAGUCGAGCGAAUAGACGAGGAGCUUGCUCCUCUGACGUUAGCGGCGGACGGGUGAGUAACACGUGGAUAACCUACCUAUAAGACUGGGAUAACUUCGGGAAACCGGAGCUAAUACCGGAUAAUAUAUUGAACCGCAUGGUUCAAUAGUGAAAGACGGUUUUGCUGUCACUUAUAGAUGGAUCCGCGCCGCAUUAGCUAGUUGGUAAGGUAACGGCUUACCAAGGCAACGAUGCGUAGCCGACCUGAGAGGGUGAUCGGCCACACUGGAACUGAGACACGGUCCAGACUCCUACGGGAGGCAGCAGUAGGGAAUCUUCCGCAAUGGGCGAAAGCUUGACGGAGCAACGCCGCGUGAGUGAUGAAGGUCUUCGGAUCGUAAAACUCUGUUAUUAGGGAAGAACAAAUGUGUAAGUAACUAUGCACGUCUUGACGGUACCUAAUCAGAAAGCCACGGCUAACUACGUG